Unclassified non-coding RNA from Macaca mulatta (Rhesus monkey), 117 nucleotides. It matches the Rfam family "Metazoan signal recognition particle RNA". Rfam says of the family: The signal recognition particle (SRP) is a universally conserved ribonucleoprotein. It is involved in the co-translational targeting of proteins to membranes. Lineage: Eukaryota; Metazoa; Chordata; Mammalia; Primates; Cercopithecidae. The record is from Ensembl.
GCCGGGCGCAGUGGCCCACGCCUGUAAUCCCAGCACUUUGGGAGGCUGAGGCAGGAGGAUCACCUGAGGUCAGGAGUUUGAGACCAGCCUGACCAACAUGGUGAAACCCCGUCUCUA